UUUUUUUUUCACUUUUUCCUUUACACUCCACUCUCACUUUCUAAGAAGUUUGUGGCUCGGAUCUCUCUUCUCCCUCUCCAUAGAUUCCGUCGCCAUGGCAUAGAGGUUUCUCUUGGAAAUUGCUAAUAGACCCAGGAGACGAGGAGAAGAAAUAUAAGGAAGAGGCUAAAUGAAGUGAAACACAACCAUCCAUUUGCAGGAUUACAUCAAAGAAUGUCAGUUUCCAGCGCAUACCUUCAAAUAUUUUUCUGUGGCUCAAUGAAGAAGCUCAAGACAAUCACCAUAUCUGGGAAGCACUUUGGCUGUUCUACCGAGUGUCCUAACAUAACACAUAACAUUAUAGAGGGUCUUAUACUGUAUCAGGGACAGGGGCUGUAUGGAUCUACUCUCAGGCCGGUUGAAGUGCUUUCACAGAACCUAUAUCUUGAACUUGGACGUAUCUUCUCAGUUGUCAAGUUGCACUCACAGAGUUGACGAAUCGUUGAAAAUGCCUUUGCUUUGUUUCCAUGCUAGAGCAAUGAUUUCACAUUUAUUACUUUUUUACUAAGUGAAUUUAGGUGGUUCUAGGGGAAACUUUUUGGUGUUUUGCUGAGGGAAAGGCUUGAUGAUGCUAACGUUAAGUGCUUCCAUUGACCGUAAUUGCAAAUGUUUUUAGAUGAGAGAAAUUAUGAUAUUGCGCUUCGAGGUG
Molecule: long non-coding RNA, 688 nt
Organism: Nicotiana attenuata
Lineage: Eukaryota; Viridiplantae; Streptophyta; Magnoliopsida; Solanales; Solanaceae
Exons: 3
Source: RefSeq, a predicted model, not a curated record